RNAcentral lists this ribosomal RNA (722 nucleotides) under Staphylococcus aureus. RNAcentral describes it as "bacterial SSU rRNA". It matches the Rfam family "Bacterial small subunit ribosomal RNA", at positions 103 to 812 of the family's 1533-position model. Lineage: Bacteria; Bacillati; Bacillota; Bacilli; Caryophanales; Staphylococcaceae. The record is from RNAcentral.
CGGGUGAGUAACACGUGGAUAACCUACCUAUAAGACUGGGAUAACUUCGGGAAACCGGAGCUAAUACCGGAUAAUAUUUUGAACCGCAUGGUUCAAAAGUGAAAGACGGUCUUGCUGUCACUUAUAGAUGGAUCCGCGCUGCAUUAGCUAGUUGGUAAGGUAACGGCUUACCAAGGCAACGAUACGUAGCCGACCUGAGAGGGUGAUCGGCCACACUGGAACUGAGACACGGUCCAGACUCCUACGGGAGGCAGCAGUAGGGAAUCUUCCGCAAUGGGCGAAAGCCUGACGGAGCAACGCCGCGUGAGUGAUGAAGGUCUUCGGAUCGUAAAACUCUGUUAUUAGGGAAGAACAUAUGUGUAAGUAACUGUGCACAUCUUGACGGUACCUAAUCAGAAAGCCACGGCUAACUACGUGCCAGCAGCCGCGGUAAUACGUAGGUGGCAAGCGUUAUCCGGAAUUAUUGGGCGUAAAGCGCGCGUAGGCGGUUUUUUAAGUCUGAUGUGAAAGCCCACGGCUCAACCGUGGAGGGUCAUUGGAAACUGGAAAACUUGAGUGCAGAAGAGGAAAGUGGAAUUCCAUGUGUAGCGGUGAAAUGCGCAGAGAUAUGGAGGAACACCAGUGGCGAAGGCGACUUUCUGGUCUGUAACUGACGCUGAUGUGCGAAAGCGUGGGGAUCAAACAGGAUUAGAUACCCUGGUAGUCCACGCCGUAAACGAUGA